CUUUCGUACUCGCGAAUGCAUCNAGAUUAGUAGUUUGAUCAUGGCUCAGAUUGAACGCUGGCGGCAGGCCUAACACAUGCAAGUCGAGCGGCAGCACAAGUAAGUUUACUUAUGAGGUGGCGAGCGGCGGACGGGUGAGUAAUGCCUAGGGAUCUGCCCAGUCGAGGGGGGUAACAGUUGGAAACGACUGCUAAUACCGCAUACGCCCUACGGGGGAAAGAGGGGGACCUUCGGGCCUCUCGCGAUUGGAUGAACCUAGGUGGGAUUAGCUAGUUGGUGAGGUAAUGGCUCACCAAGGCGACGAUCCCUAGCUGUUCUGAGAGGAUGAUCAGCCACACUGGGACUGAGACACGGCCCAGACUCCUACGGGAGGCAGCAGUGGGGAAUAUUGCACAAUGGGGGAAACCCUGAUGCAGCCAUGCCGCGUGUGUGAAGAAGGCCUUCGGGUUGUAAAGCACUUUCAGUAGGGAGGAAAGGGUGAGUCUUAAUACGGCUCAUCUGUGACGUUACCUACAGAAGAAGGACCGGCUAACUCCGUGCCAGCAGCCGCGGUAAUACGGAGGGUCCGAGCG
Molecule: ribosomal RNA, 572 nt
Filed under: uncultured bacterium
Lineage: Bacteria
Description: partial 16S ribosomal RNA
Rfam family: Bacterial small subunit ribosomal RNA
Source: RNAcentral